This is a non-coding RNA of Salmo salar (Atlantic salmon), 54 nucleotides long. The record is from Rfam. NCBI's taxonomy places the organism in Eukaryota, Metazoa, Chordata, Actinopteri, Salmoniformes, Salmonidae.
UACAUUCACUACUGUAAGUUGCUCUGGAUAAGAGCGUCUGCUAAAGGACUAAAA